CCGAAUUAAAUUCCGGGGUUGUAGCUGGCCAUUGUUUUGGCAUGUGCACGCCUUGGUAAAUCCAUAUAAUUUAAUACCACUGUGCACCAUUCUAUGGGAAUUGAUGAGGCUGUGUAUAACGCUGUCUGCGUCUAAUGGCAUUGUCGUUCUCAUAUCUUUACAUUCACGCUUUAGUCUUAGAAUGUUUAUUGCGUUGGACGCAUUUAAAUA
RNAcentral lists this unclassified non-coding RNA (210 nucleotides) under uncultured Corticiales. RNAcentral's name for it is "sequence contains ITS1". Lineage: Eukaryota; Fungi; Basidiomycota; Agaricomycetes. The record is from RNAcentral.